GAAGUUUAAACUGACAUCCUCUAUUAGCACAAACAACAUGCAUCUAUUUGACGCAAAAGGAAAAAUUAAGAAAUAUGACAAUCCAGAACAAAUUCUUGAAGAGUUCUUCCCCCUCCGGUUGGAGUAUUAUGAGAGAAGGAAGAACCAUAUAUUGAACAACCUUCAAUGACUUUUGCUGAUUUUGGACAACAAACCUAGGUUUAUAUUAGGGGUUGUGAAUGGAGAAAUGAUUGUAAGCAAUAGGAAGAAAGCUAAUUUGAUGAUUGAGUUGCAGCACAAAGGUUUCACUCCCAUGCCUAGGAAAUGUAAAUCUGCAGAACCCCAAGUUGCUGGGGCAAAUGAAGAUCAAGAAGAUGACAACAAUACUACAGAGCUGGAGAAGAAAUUGUAUAAGGAAGUUAAGGUAUUAGCAUUGUUUUAAAUUACUAGAUUUUAGAUUCUUUAAACUGAAAUGAAUCAUAAAAUUAGAAAUGGUUGGAGCUAUUCAUAGUUUCGUAUCCAUCUUAAUUAUUUUCUGUAUGAGGACAAACACUUCUAAAUUUGCUUACGAUAUAGUUUCCCUUUCAUACCUUCAUGUUGUUGGAGAGGAGAACAUAUAAAUUGAAACUUCAUUACUCAAUAACAUGUAUUUUUGA
Molecule: long non-coding RNA, 635 nt
Organism: Glycine soja
Lineage: Eukaryota; Viridiplantae; Streptophyta; Magnoliopsida; Fabales; Fabaceae
Exons: 3
Source: RefSeq, a predicted model, not a curated record